GAGGGUAUAGCUCAGUGGUAGAGCACAUGCCUAGCAUGCACAAGGUCCUGGGUUCAAUCCCCAGUACCGCCA
This 72-nucleotide transfer RNA is filed under the name Camelus ferus (Wild Bactrian camel). It matches the Rfam family "tRNA". Rfam says of the family: Transfer RNA (tRNA) molecules are approximately 80 nucleotides in length. Their secondary structure includes four short double-helical elements and three loops (D, anti-codon, and T loops). Lineage: Eukaryota; Metazoa; Chordata; Mammalia; Artiodactyla; Camelidae. The record is from Rfam by way of RNAcentral.